ACCAAAAAAACAAAAAAAACCAAGAAAGGGCAGAGUGAAAACACCGCUUUUGGGUGAAGCGGCAGCAUGUUGUGUUGUUUUGCUUCAAUCGGUGGUGUGACAGGG
Molecule: small nucleolar RNA, 105 nt
Organism: Mesoplodon densirostris (Blainville's beaked whale)
Lineage: Eukaryota; Metazoa; Chordata; Mammalia; Artiodactyla; Ziphiidae
Source: RefSeq, a predicted model, not a curated record